RNAcentral lists this small RNA (582 nucleotides) under Pan troglodytes (chimpanzee). Its description in RNAcentral is "retained intron". Lineage: Eukaryota; Metazoa; Chordata; Mammalia; Primates; Hominidae. The record is from RNAcentral.
UUUUCCUGUGGCAGCAGCCGGGCUGAGAGGAGCGUGGCUGUCUCCUCUCUCCGCCAUGGCGUGUGCUCGCCCACUGAUAUCUGUGUACUCCGAAAAGGGGGAGUCAUCUGGCAAAAAUGUCACUUUGCCUGCUGUAUUCAAGGCUCCUAUUCGACCAGAUAUUGUGAACUUUGUUCACACCAACUUGCGCAAAAACAACAGACAGCCCUACGCUGUCAGUGAAUUAGCAGGUCAUCAGACUAGUGCUGAGUCUUGGGGUACUGGCAGAGCUGUGGCUCGAAUUCCCAGAGUUCGAGGUGGUGGGACUCACCGCUCUGGCCAGGGUGCUUUUGGAAACAUGUGUCGUGGAGGCCGAAUGUUUGCACCAACCAAAACCUGGCGCCGUUGGCAUCGUAGAGUGAACACAACCCAAAAACGAUAUGCCAUCUGUUCUGCCCUGGCUGCCUCAGCCCUACCAGCACUGGUCAUGUCUAAAGGUCUAUGCCUCUCAGCGAAUGAGAGCUGGCAAAGGCAAAAUGAGAAACCGUCGCCGUAUCCAGCGCAGGGGCCCGUGCAUCAUCUAUAAUGAGGAUAAUGGUAUCA